GGAAUUCUCACUGGAGAAAUAAUAUAUAAAGUCAUUAAUGUUCAAGCACAUUUAUUGUAAAACCAUUUUGGCUUAGGCACAGUUUAUUUUUUAACAUGACAACAGAGAAUUCUGAAGGAAAGAAACUGUAGAAGGAAAGUGGAAGGACACAUUUAGGAAUUCAUUUAUUUAAUGCUUUAAUAUUUAUUGAGAGUGUGUUAUGCACAAAGUGCUAUACCAUGCAUUGUCAUCUCUGUAGCGGGCUGCUUUUACCUGGCCAAGUUCUGAAUAAAAUGAGAAAUAGGACAAAAUGUAAGAUAAGUGGAAGAUGCAAAAUCACUAUUUUUAUUAAUACAGACUAAAUUAAGUAAUAUAGCUCUGAGUAAACACAAAUAGGCCUGUUAAUUAAAACUGCAAAUUUGGCAGACUAACCCAUCAUAUCAUGGUAGUGUUAGACUAGGACAGGCCCGUGUGUACAAAGGCUGACCAGGUAGGAUUAAAGGCACGGAGGAAAGGAGAAGAGCUCCCGGUCUCCGUGGGUAGCAUCUCAUGUCAGUCUGAGGAAAAGAGGAGGGGAGGUGAAUUUGAGCAUGUCCAGUUUAUUCUUCCCAAAUUUACCAACUGGAUAAGUCAUUCCACUUCCUCUGAGAUGGUGAGGACAAGGUGCAGAGAGAAUCCUGAAGUAUUCCACCAACGGAAUUCCCCUGACGUGGAAGGAAGCAUCGGAACUCUCGUCCUCAACAUUAAGUACUGGAGAUAGAAAAGUGAACAAGACAACGCACUUCCCUUCGAAGGACUCACAGAGAGUCUUAUCAUAACAGAGAGGGUCAUCUUAAAAAUCAGUGGCAUAUUGGACUGAUUUCAUCUUUCUGUCUCAUCAGAUACUGUCACAUAUUCGUAGACACGGUCAGAGGUGUGACUUGUGACAACUAAUGGCUGUAUCUAAAGAUAGAGAUCUAGGAGCUAGCAAGUCGGAAUUUGGUUGCGUUCUGAAUCUACUCCUAACUUGCUCUGUGAUCCAAGGAGUCUUCAUCACGUCCAUGUGUGUGUGAGUAUGUGUGUGUGCAGAUUGUUUUUUACAUAGACUGGAAAUAUUGACCUCUAUAUUGUACAUAAGAAAACUAAAUAUCAGAGAAAUAAAAUGCAAGAGAAGACAGGCAACACAAAGAGGUCCUCCGGGCCCAGGAAGAACCCGUAGGCAAUCUUGCUGUCAUUUCAAGUCUCCCUCCUUCCUCCUGCAAAGCAGAGAGACAAAGGCCAAUCCUCAGAACCACGGGAGGAGCAAGCAGGUCAGACACAAGCCCAGACUUCCCGCGAACACUGAAGAAGUCAACAACCAGCAACUGUGUCCGAGGUGACCUCCUUCAAGACUCCAGAGAGCUGGUUUCCCUGGCAGGCCCAGGCAGGUGCCCAGGAUGUCACCUUCCUCAGGCUUCCUGUGCCACUGCCCUCCAAGAGAAAAAAAAUCCUUUCAAAGAAAAAUUUCAGUCCAUAUAAAUAAAACAUACCAUGCUGGCAAAUUCCGUGAAAAGGGCGGUCCCUGUUUUCCCUAAGUCAAAAUAUUUUCCUUUCCAAUAUAUUUGUUUCUUCUAAUAGGAGAAUGCUGUCUUCUCUCUCUACCACACCUUGCGGUUGAGGUUUAGACUCUCCAAGUAGCUUAGGCAUAAAGAGUCAAGCUGCUAGGUUCAGCUCCCAUUGAGUUUUUGCUUGGCUUCUAAAAGGAGACCCUGCUCCUGGAGGGAGGAUGACAGUGGCCUUGCACAUCCACCACCAUCUCAGAUUCUAUUAUUUGCACCUGC
Molecule: long non-coding RNA, 1778 nt
Organism: Equus caballus (horse)
Lineage: Eukaryota; Metazoa; Chordata; Mammalia; Perissodactyla; Equidae
Source: Ensembl